Molecule: ribosomal RNA, 465 nt
Filed under: Vreelandella stevensii
Lineage: Bacteria; Pseudomonadati; Pseudomonadota; Gammaproteobacteria; Oceanospirillales; Halomonadaceae
Description: partial 16S ribosomal RNA
Rfam family: Bacterial small subunit ribosomal RNA
Source: RNAcentral
CCUACGGGUGGCAGCAGUGGGGAAUAUUGGACAAUGGGCGAAAGCCUGAUCCAGCCAUGCCGCGUGUGUGAAGAAGGCCUUCGGGUUGUAAAGCACUUUCAGUGGGGAAGAAAGCCUUGGGGCUAAUACCCUCGAGGAAGGACAUCACCCACAGAAGAAGCACCGGCUAACUCCGUGCCAGCAGCCGCGGUAAUACGGAGGGUGCGAGCGUGAAUCGGAAUUACUGGGCGUAAAGCGCGCGUAGGCGGUCUGAUAAGCCGGUUGUGAAAGCCCCGGGCUCAACCUGGGAACGGCAUCCGGAACUGUCAGGCUAGAGUGCAGGAGAGGAAGGUAGAAUUCCUGGUGUAGCGGUGAAAUGCGUAGAGAUCGGGAGGAAUACCAGUGGCGAAGGCGGCUUACUGGACUGACACUGACGCUGAGGUGCGAAAGCGUGGGUAGCAAACAGGAUUAGAUACCCUGGUAGUC